This 253-nucleotide ribosomal RNA is filed under the name uncultured bacterium. Its description in RNAcentral is "partial 16S ribosomal RNA". It matches the Rfam family "Bacterial small subunit ribosomal RNA", at positions 524 to 776 of the family's 1533-position model. The record is from RNAcentral.
UACGUAGGGGGCAAGCGUUGUCCGGAUUUACUGGGCGUAAAGAGCGUGUAGGCGGCCACGCAGGUCCGUUGUGAAAACUGGAGGCUCAACCUCCAGCUGUCGACGGAGACCGUAUGGCUAGAGUCCGGAAGAGGAGAGUGGAAUUCCUGGUGUAGCGGUGAAAUGCGCAGAUAUCAGGAGGAACACCAAUGGCGAAGGCAGCUCUCUGGGACGGUACUGACGCUGAGACGCGAAAGCGUGGGGAGCGAACAGG